Molecule: ribosomal RNA, 201 nt
Filed under: Lysinibacillus fusiformis
Lineage: Bacteria; Bacillati; Bacillota; Bacilli; Caryophanales; Bacillaceae
Description: 16S rRNA. Bacterial SSU
Rfam family: Bacterial small subunit ribosomal RNA
Source: RNAcentral
CUGGCUCAGGACGAACGCUGGCGGCGUGCCUAAUACAUGCAAGUCGAGCGAACAGAGAAGGAGCUUGCUCCUUCGACGUUAGCGGCGGACGGGUGAGUAACACGUGGGCAACCUACCUUAUAGUUUGGGAUAACUCCGGGAAACCGGGGCUAAUACCGAAUAAUCUGUUUCACCUCAUGGUGAAACACUGAAAGACGGUUU